Molecule: unclassified non-coding RNA, 156 nt
Filed under: soil metagenome
Description: partial internal transcribed spacer 1
Source: RNAcentral
CCGAGUUUACAAUUCCCAAACCCAUGUGAACAUACCUACUGUUGCUUCGGCGGGAUUGCCCCGGGCGCCUCGUGUGCCCCGGAUCAGGCGCCCGCCUAGGAAACUUAACUCUUGUUUUAUUUUGGAAUCUUCUGAGUAGUUUUUACAAAUAAAUAA